This 447-nucleotide ribosomal RNA is filed under the name uncultured bacterium. RNAcentral describes it as "bacterial SSU rRNA". It matches the Rfam family "Bacterial small subunit ribosomal RNA", at positions 329 to 793 of the family's 1533-position model. The record is from RNAcentral.
UUCCAGACUCCUACGGGAGGCAGCAGUGGGGAAUAUUGCACAAUGGGGGAAACCCUGAUGCAGCGACGCCGCGUGAGUGAAGAAGUACUUCGUUAUGUAAAGCUCUAUCAGCAGGGAAGAAAAUGACGGUACCUGAGUAAGAAGCCCCGGCUAACUACGUGCCAGCAGCCGCGGUAAUACGUAGGGGGCAAGCGUUAUCCGGAUUCACUGGGUGUAAAGGGAGCGUAGACGGCCAUGCAAGCCUGGAGUGAAAGCCCGGGGCCCAACCCCGGGACUGCUCUGGGAACUGUGCGGCUGGAGUGCGGGAGGGGCAGGCGGAAUUCCUGGUGUAGCGGUGAAAUGCGUAGAUAUCAGGAGGAACACCGGCGGCGAAGGCGGCCUGCUGGACCGCGACUGACGUUGAGGCUCGAAAGCGUGGGGAGCAAACAGGAUUAGAUACCCCCGUAA